GAGUUGUAAUGUGGUCCUGAUCGCAAAGGUUUUAUAUCCACAUUUCUGCCAUGACAGUGUUCUACGGCAAUCAAGUGGUCCUGAUCGACUACGGGGCUGAUGCCUCACAGCAGCUUCUCGAUGCUUCUCUGGUUGGCGAUCUUAGAUCGACUCUCAAAUGCAUCACCGAUUCCUUCGUAGACAUCAACUUCGUCAGUGCAGUUUUCCUUGAAAUGUAGAAAGGGUGAGGUCAUUUUGCAGGAUGAAUCACCGAGUGAAGUUCUCGUCUACUUUGAGGAGUUUAAAACUGAUGUUACAGCUUGCUCAUCGCCGUUCAUGUUGGAAAUGUGGCUUUCGUGAAGAAAUUUUUGCCUUCAUUUAUAUUUUAAGCAAUGAAAGCAAUAAAAAACAUGGUUGCAAGAAAAAUAGCACUCUGUGUCAAAUUUUGAUUUCAUGGGGUUGCAAGAAACAUGGUUACCCAACGUCUAAGAGGUGCACAUUGAUGCUCUAACCCCAUGUCUACAAAGCAUGACUGCUUGAGAAGUUACUCCUUCACUUCGGUCUUGAGAAGUCAUUCAUUCACUUCAAUCAUAAGAUACAUCGGUGGUAGAUAUCGAAGACAUAUUACAUUGAUUUUCUCUUUUAGAAUUAGAUGAAGACAGAGAAGAAAGACACAAAGAAGGAGAACCUAUCGGAGAGAAGGAAGCAAUUUGCUUUCUUUAUUCUUUAGCAUUUAAUUUAGGGAUUCUAAGUGUAUUAGGGAUUUUAUUUUAGUUAAUUAUUUUUACUAGGUUUAUUUUAGUUUUGCAAUAGCUGAGUAAGAUGCUGACAUGUCAAUUCUAUUAAAUAUAUAGUUAAUGUGAUAAUUUUUAUUUUUUUAAUGAAUUUUAAAAUGAUGUAAAA
RNAcentral lists this unclassified non-coding RNA (882 nucleotides) under Hevea brasiliensis (rubber tree). The record is from RNAcentral. Lineage: Eukaryota; Viridiplantae; Streptophyta; Magnoliopsida; Malpighiales; Euphorbiaceae.